This 237-nucleotide long non-coding RNA is filed under the name Gallus gallus (chicken). Lineage: Eukaryota; Metazoa; Chordata; Aves; Galliformes; Phasianidae. The record is from RNAcentral.
CUUCUGGUGUUAUUAAGCCAUAGGCAUUGUACAUCUUAGGGCCCAAAUCUGGCCGUACAAAAUAGUUGGGAAGUCGAGAGGCAAGGUUGAGCUUUCCACCUCUCCUCGUGUACUCUGGCAGUGGAAUAUUUUUCAUCAAAUCAUCAAACCGAGAAGGCAUCAUAUCUCUGAAAUCUUCUCCCGGAGGCCAAUCUUUAAGCUUCAACACCAUUGGCUCUCCUUCUUCUGUUCUCAGGC